Molecule: ribosomal RNA, 200 nt
Filed under: uncultured bacterium
Lineage: Bacteria
Description: partial 16S ribosomal RNA
Rfam family: Bacterial small subunit ribosomal RNA
Source: RNAcentral
AGAGUUUGAUCCUGGCUCAGAACGAACGCUGGCGGCAGGCCUAACACAUGCAAGUCGAGCGCCCAGCAAUGGGAGCGGCGGACGGGUGAGUAACACGUGGGAAUAUGCCCUUUGGUACGGGACAACUCAGGGAAACUUGAGCUAAUACCGUAUGUGCCGGUAACGGGAAAGAUUUAUCGCCAAAGGAAUAGCCCGCGUCC